Molecule: ribosomal RNA, 253 nt
Filed under: uncultured bacterium
Lineage: Bacteria
Description: partial 16S ribosomal RNA
Rfam family: Bacterial small subunit ribosomal RNA
Source: RNAcentral
AACGUAGGAGACGAACGUUAUCCGGAGUUACUGGGCGUAAAGGGCGUGUAGGCGGUUUGUUAAGUCUGGCGUGAAAGCUCUCGGCUAAACCGGGAGAGGUCGUUGGAUACUGGCAAACUUGAGGAUGGUAGAGGCGUGUGGAAUUCCGGGUGUAGUGGUGAAAUGCGUAGAGAUCCGGAGGAACACCAGUGGCGAAGGCGGCCGGCUGGGCCGUGCCUGACGCUGAGGCGCGAAAGCGUGGGGAGCGAACCGG